GAUGAACGCUGACAGAAUGCUUAACACAUGCAAGUCUUUGGCGAAGCUGUGCUUGCACAGCCUAGCCAAGGCGGACGGGUGAGUAACGCGUAAGGAACUUGCCCUGCAGUCAGGUAUAACAGACGGAAACGACUGAUAAGACCUGGUAAAGUCAGGCGGACUCAUGUCCAGCCUGAUGAAAAGAGAUGCUGCGGGAGAGCCUUGCGUCCUAUUAGCUUGUUGGUGGGGUAACGGCCCACCAAGGCGGUGAUAGGUAGCCGGCCUGAGAGGGUGGACGGCCAAGAGGGGACUGAGAUACGGCCGUUACUCCUACGGGAGGCAGCAGUGGGGAAUAUUGGACAAUGGGGGCAACCCUGAUCCAGCAAUUCUGUGUGCACGAUGAAGGUUUUCGGAUUGUAAAGUGCUUUCAGCAGGGAAGAAAAAAAUGACGGUACCUGCAGAAGAAGCGACGGCUAAAUACGUG
This 463-nucleotide ribosomal RNA is filed under the name uncultured bacterium. Its description in RNAcentral is "partial 16S ribosomal RNA". It matches the Rfam family "Bacterial small subunit ribosomal RNA", at positions 28 to 507 of the family's 1533-position model. The record is from RNAcentral.